Molecule: long non-coding RNA, 320 nt
Organism: Sinocyclocheilus rhinocerous
Lineage: Eukaryota; Metazoa; Chordata; Actinopteri; Cypriniformes; Cyprinidae
Exons: 2
Source: RefSeq, a predicted model, not a curated record
GUCAUUUCUGCAUAAGUAGGCUAUUAUUAAAACAAGUUAGACUGGUCCAGUCAAUGUUGUUGGUCUCAUGAACAUGCAAACAUUAGCCCAAGGUUUACCAAUGUACAAUGUGGGAAAAAAAAACAUUAAACCCGAAUACUAGAGAAAAAAUGGGGGAAAAUAAUUAUAUUGUAGAGAAAAGUCCAUAUUUGGUCACCUUGUAGACUACAAUAAACCUUUUGUACUCUCUUUAUAGGACCUUAUAUGUAGUUAACAAUGCUCCUGACUUCGCGGUCCUCUCGAUUCACGCCUGGCUUCACAUAAAAUUGCGGAAGACGGAA